This 252-nucleotide ribosomal RNA is filed under the name uncultured bacterium. Its description in RNAcentral is "partial 16S ribosomal RNA". It matches the Rfam family "Bacterial small subunit ribosomal RNA", at positions 15 to 257 of the family's 1533-position model. The record is from RNAcentral.
GAUCAUGGCUCAGGAUGAACGCUAGCUACAGGCUUAACACAUGCAAGUCGAGGGGCAGCAUUUUAGUUUGCUUGCAAACUAAAGAUGGCGACCGGCGCACGGGUGAGUAACACGUAUCCAACCUGCCGAUAACUCGGGGAUAGCCUUUCGAAAGAAAGAUUAAUAUCCGAUAGUAUAUUUUCUCCGCGUGGUGAGAAUAUUAAAGAAUUUCGGUUAUCGAUGGGGAUGCGUUCCAUUAGUUUGUUGGCGGGG